ACUCCUACGGGAGGCAGCAGUAGGGAAUCUUCGGCAAUGGACGGAAGUCUGACCGAGCAACGCCGCGUGAGUGAAGAAGGUUUUCGGAUCGUAAAGCUCUGUUGUAAGAGAAGAACGAGUGUGAGAGUGGAAAGUUCACACUGUGACGGUAUCUUACCAGAAAGGGACGGCUAACUACGUGCCAGCAGCCGCGGUAAUACGUAGGUCCCGAGCGUUGUCCGGAUUUAUUGGGCGUAAAGCGAGCGCAGGCGGUUAGAUAAGUCUGAAGUUAAAGGCUGUGGCUUAACCAUAGUACGCUUUGGAAACUGUUUAACUUGAGUGCAAGAGGGGAGAGUGGAAUUCCAUGUGUAGCGGUGAAAUGCGUAGAUAUAUGGAGGAACACCGGUGGCGAAAGCGGCUCUCUGGCUUGUAACUGACGCUGAGGCUCGAAAGCGUGGGGAGCAAACAGGAUUAGAUACCCUGGUAGCUA
Molecule: ribosomal RNA, 469 nt
Filed under: uncultured bacterium
Lineage: Bacteria
Description: bacterial SSU rRNA
Rfam family: Bacterial small subunit ribosomal RNA
Source: RNAcentral